CCUACGGGAGACAGCAGUAGGGAAUCUUCCACAAUGGACGAAAGUCUGAUGGAGCAACGCCGCGUGAGUGAAGAAGGGUUUCGGCUCGUAACGCUCUGUUGGUAGUGAAGAAAGAUAGAGGUAGUAACUGGCCUUUAUUUGACGGUAAUUACUUAGAAAGUCACGGCUAACUACGUACCAGCACCCGCGGUAAUACGGAGGUGGCAAGCGUUGUCCGGAUUUAUUGGUGGUAAAGCGAGUGCAGGCGGUUCAAUAAGUCUGAUGUGAAAGCCUUCGGCUCAACCGGAGAAUUGCAUCAGAAACUGUUGAACUUGAGUGCAGAAUAGGAGAGUGGAACUCCAUGUGGAGCGGUGGAAUGCGUAGAUAUAUGGAAGAACACCAGUGGCGAAGGCGGCUCUCUGGUCUGCAACUGACGCUGAGGCUCGAAAGCAUGGGUAGCGAACAGGAUUAGAUACCCGUGUAGUC
This 465-nucleotide ribosomal RNA is filed under the name uncultured bacterium. RNAcentral describes it as "partial 16S ribosomal RNA". It matches the Rfam family "Bacterial small subunit ribosomal RNA", at positions 338 to 795 of the family's 1533-position model. The record is from RNAcentral.